RNAcentral lists this ribosomal RNA (465 nucleotides) under Vreelandella stevensii. Its description in RNAcentral is "partial 16S ribosomal RNA". It matches the Rfam family "Bacterial small subunit ribosomal RNA", at positions 338 to 795 of the family's 1533-position model. The record is from RNAcentral. Lineage: Bacteria; Pseudomonadati; Pseudomonadota; Gammaproteobacteria; Oceanospirillales; Halomonadaceae.
CCUACGGGAGGCUGCAGUGGGGAAUAUUGGACAAUGGGGGCAACCCUGAUCCAGCCAUGCCGCGUGUGUGAAGAAGGCCCUCGGGUUGUAAAGCACUUUCAGUGAGGAAGAACGCCUGGUGGUUAAUACCCAUCAGGAAAGACAUCACUCACAGAAGAAGCACCGGCUAACUCCGAGCCAGCAGCCGCGGUAAUACGGAGGGUGCGAGCGUUAAUCGGAAUUACUGGGCGUAAAGCGCGCGUAGGUGGCUUGAUAAGCCGGUUGUGAAAGCCCCGGGCUCAACCUGGGAACGGCAUCCGGAACUGUCAAGCUGGAGUGCAGGAGAGGAAGGUAGAAUUCCCGGUGUAGCGGUGAAAUGCGUAGAGAUCGGGAGGAAUACCAGUGGCGAAGGCGGCCUUCUGGACUGACACUGACACUGAGGUGCGAAAGCGUGGGUAGCAAACAGGAUUAGAUACCCCUGUAGUC